UUCUAACCCUUUUUCCCAUCGAUCCUCAUCUUUGUACUCAUCAUCUUCCUCCUUUGAUUCAGUCAAUCUAUCUUCGAAAUCAACAAUCCAUCAUUAAUUAGUCUAUAAUUAUGGUGAAUCGUUUACAAUGUCUCACUACUCAUCGUCAUCAUCUUUGAAACAUCUGAUUUGCUCUUGUGGUGCAGCCUUGUUAUAACCAUACUCAAUAUGAUGAGGUUGAAAAACAAGUUGUAAAUGUGGAAGAAAAAGAAGUGGUUCAAGAUAACUUUGGUGAGGUCUACAACAUGAAGAAGAGUUGCAAGCGAAAUAUGGAAUGGAUUACAACAACUUCGUAGAAUAGAUGUAAGAAGAAUAUGAAAAGGAUCUAGAGUUGGAAUAUGACAUUGAGGUAUUAAAAAAGGCUUGGGACUACGAAAGCCCCGAACAAGGGGAGGACCACUUGUACCACAAUCCGUAUUAAAGGCAAGCAUGAAUGAGAUUCUGAAUGGUAAAACGAUGAGUGUCAUAAACAAUAAUGUAUAUCAUGUUU
This 529-nucleotide long non-coding RNA is filed under the name Helianthus annuus (common sunflower). RNAcentral's name for it is "sRNA HanXRQr2_Chr09g0414301". Lineage: Eukaryota; Viridiplantae; Streptophyta; Magnoliopsida; Asterales; Asteraceae. The record is from RNAcentral.